RNAcentral lists this ribosomal RNA (319 nucleotides) under Enterococcus sp. Egg. RNAcentral's name for it is "bacterial SSU rRNA". It matches the Rfam family "Bacterial small subunit ribosomal RNA", at positions 1159 to 1476 of the family's 1533-position model. Lineage: Bacteria; Bacillati; Bacillota; Bacilli; Lactobacillales; Enterococcaceae. The record is from RNAcentral.
UUAACUGGAGGAGGGUGGGGAUGACGUCAAAUCAUCAUGCCCCUUAUGACCUGGGCUACACACGUGCUACAAUGGGAAGUACAACGAGUCGCUAGACCGCGAGGUCAUGCAAAUCUCUUAAAGCUUCUCUCAGUUCGGAUUGCAGGCUGCAACUCGCCUGCAUGAAGCCGGAAUCGCUAGUAAUCGCGGAUCAGCACGCCGCGGUGAAUACGUUCCCGGGCCUUGUACACACCGCCCGUCACACCACGAGAGUUUGUAACACCCGAAGUCGGUGAGGUAACCUUUUUGGAGCCAGCCGCCUAAGGUGGGAUAGAUGAUU